This 691-nucleotide ribosomal RNA is filed under the name uncultured delta proteobacterium. Its description in RNAcentral is "bacterial SSU rRNA". It matches the Rfam family "Bacterial small subunit ribosomal RNA", at positions 137 to 801 of the family's 1533-position model. Lineage: Bacteria; Deltaproteobacteria. The record is from RNAcentral.
UUGGGGAUAACAUUGCGAAAGCGAUGCUAAUACCGGAUAAUAUCCACUGAACUUCGGUUUUAUGGAUCAAAGGUGGCCUAUCCUUGGAAGCUACCGUUUGGAGAUGAGCCCGCGUACCAUUAGCUUGUUGGUAGGGUAAAGGCCUACCAAGGCGACGAUGGUUAGCUGGUCUGAGAGGAUGAUCAGCCACACUGGAACUGACACACGGUCCAGACUCCUACGGGAGGCAGCAGUGAGGAAUUUUGCGCAAUGGGGGAAACCCUGACGCAGCAACGCCGCGUGAGUGAUGAAGGCCUUCGGGUCGUAAAGCUCUGUCAAGUGGGAAGAACCCAAAGAGUGCUAAUACCACUUUUUGCUGACGGUACCACUGAAGGAAGCACCGGCUAACUCCGUGCCAGCAGCCGCGGUAAUACGGGGGGUGCAAGCGUUAUUCGGAAUCACUGGGCGUAAAGGGCGCGUAGGCUGUUUGGCAAAGUCAAAUGUGAAAGCCCUGGGCUCAACCCCGGAAGUGCAUCUGAAACUGCUGAACUUGAUUAUGGGAGAGGGAAGUGGAAUUUCCUGGUGUAGAGGUGAAAUUCGUAGAUAUCAGGAGGAACACCGGUGGCGAAAGCGACUUUCCUGGACCAAUACUGACGCUGAGGCGCGAAGGCGUGGGGAGCAAACAGGAUUAGAUACCCUGGUAGUCCACGCA